CACCGACCGCGCACCAGGUGGUGGAAGUGAGGAGCGGGCUGGUUGUGGCGCCCCGAGGCCAAGCUGUGUCGAGGCAAGUGCGACGCGUGAGAAAACCGUAGCUGGAAAAUGACUUAGAGUCAACAGCAGGUGGCAUUGUUAGCAAAGGUUGUGCUUUUGGGAACUAAUCAGCCUGGAGAGGAGCAUCUUUCCAAUCUGAGGCAAGGUCAUCUAAAAAAAUCAUACUCAGCAAGUCAUAUGACAUUUCAGCAGGGAAUGACAGAUUGUUGAAGAGUCUACUAGUUAAUAAGGAAAGAAGAGAAGAGGCAAGGAAGAAAAGAACUGUGUGACUAAGCUUAAUGUAUUAUCAAGGAAACAAUGCACUUAUCAACUCAAUGACUGCAUACUCUGUACCCGACGUCUUACCAAUCUGCAUUACCAGUGAAACUAUGCCAGGUUCUGCUGCUAAGAUUGAGGUGAUCUUUUGUCAUUUCCCAAGGAUCUGUUUCUCUAAGGAGCAUAGUGAUGGAUUAAACAAUGAUAUAUUAAUGGCCAUUCCCUCAGCAUUUUAAAGUUCUCUUAGGCUAGCACUCUGAGAUCAGGUUUUUAUUGUUGCUGUUUAUCACCUUGGCUUGAGUGGGUGAAUUUUCAGAGGCAGCCUUAUAUGAUAGCUCUUACUUCACAGGCCGGGGACCAG
Molecule: non-coding RNA, 676 nt
Organism: Heterocephalus glaber (naked mole-rat)
Lineage: Eukaryota; Metazoa; Chordata; Mammalia; Rodentia; Bathyergidae
Source: RefSeq, a predicted model, not a curated record